GUACUGCUGAGGAGUCCCAGACUAAGACAAAACAGCUGUCCAGUAC
This is a non-coding RNA of Trichobilharzia regenti, 46 nucleotides long. Lineage: Eukaryota; Metazoa; Platyhelminthes; Trematoda; Strigeidida; Schistosomatidae. The record is from Rfam.